AGCGAACGCUGGCGGCAGGCUUAACACAUGCAAGUCGAGCGCCCCGCAAGGGGAGCGGCAGACGGGUGAGUAACACGUGGGAACGUGCCUUUUGGUUCGGAACAACCCAGGGAAACUUGGGCUAAUACCGGAUAAGCCCUUACGGGGAAAGAUUUAUCGCCAAAAGAUCGGCCCGCGUCUGAUUAGCUAGUUGGUGGGGUAAUGGCCCACCAAGGCUACGAUCAGUAGCUGGUCUGAGAGGAUGAUCAGCCACAUUGGGACUGAGACACGGCCCAAACUCCUACGGGGGGCAGCAGUGGGGAAUAUUGGACAAUGGGGGCAACCCUGAUCCAGCCAUGCCGCGUGAGUGAUGAAGGCCUUAGGGUUGUAAAGCUCUUUUAGCAGGGAAGAUAAUGACGGUACCUGCAGAAAAAGCCCCGGCUAACUUCGUGCCAGCAGCCGCCGCGG
RNAcentral lists this ribosomal RNA (447 nucleotides) under uncultured bacterium. RNAcentral describes it as "partial 16S ribosomal RNA". It matches the Rfam family "Bacterial small subunit ribosomal RNA", at positions 29 to 523 of the family's 1533-position model. The record is from RNAcentral.